This is a non-coding RNA of Biomphalaria pfeifferi, 309 nucleotides long. NCBI's taxonomy places the organism in Eukaryota, Metazoa, Mollusca, Gastropoda, Planorbidae. The record is from the annotation of a GenBank genome assembly.
AAUGCAGAGUCAAGUGCUUUACUUCCCUGACAACAGAAUAGGUUUUCAUUGAUAUGGAUGGAUGGACUAUAAGUUAAUGUAAGGAACUAUUUGGUAAUUUAUAUAGCUCUGCAGACACAGCUAUGAUGCCAGUUUGAAAGUCUUUUUUUUUUUUUCUUUUCUAUCUGCUCCUGUCUUUAACAGUAAUGAGAAUAGGAACAGGAGCAUGUAAUUAAGUCCAACUGAUUAAUGACCAAAACACAUGUUGUUAAUACACGUACACAUAGGCAUGAUGUAGCCUGUCGGUUUUUACCUUGUACAAAUUCAGUU